This 82-nucleotide microRNA precursor is filed under the name Trichobilharzia regenti. RNAcentral's name for it is "mir-3492 microRNA precursor family". It matches the Rfam family "mir-3492 microRNA precursor family". The record is from Rfam by way of RNAcentral. Lineage: Eukaryota; Metazoa; Platyhelminthes; Trematoda; Strigeidida; Schistosomatidae.
AGCCUUCUGUAUCUGUGCUGAGAUUUCGUCAGCGAUCAUCCCGUUGACGCUGGCUGAUGUAACUCUCAAAAUAAGUGAAGCG